GGGCGGAUGGUUUAGUGGUAUAAUACUCCCUUAGCAUCGCGUCUGGGAGUGGUCCGGGGUUCGAUUCCCCGUCUGUCCA
Non-coding RNA from Claviceps monticola, 79 nucleotides. NCBI's taxonomy places the organism in Eukaryota, Fungi, Ascomycota, Sordariomycetes, Hypocreales, Clavicipitaceae. The record is from the annotation of a GenBank genome assembly.